CCCUUAGAUGUCCUGGGCCGCACGCGCGUUACACUGAUGCACUCAACGAGCAUAUAACCUUGGCCGAGAGGCCUGGGUAAUCUUGUUAACAUGCAUCGUGAUAGGGAUAGAUUAUUGCAAUUAUUAAUCUUGAACGAGGAAUUCCUAGUAAUCGCAGAUCAUCAAUCUGCAAUGAUUACGUCCCUGCCCUUUGUACACACCGCCCGUCGCACCUACCGAUUGAAUGGUCCGGUGAGGACUCGGGAUUGUGGUUUGGCUCCUUCAUUGGGGCCUGACUGUGAGAACUUGUCCAAACCUUAUCAUUUAGAGGAAGGUGAAGUCGCAACA
Molecule: ribosomal RNA, 327 nt
Filed under: uncultured eukaryote
Lineage: Eukaryota
Description: partial 18S ribosomal RNA
Rfam family: Eukaryotic small subunit ribosomal RNA
Source: RNAcentral